UACAGAGGUCCCAAGCGUUGUUCGGAUUCACUGGGCGUAAAGGGUGCGUAGGCGGUCGGGUAAGUCUGAUGUGAAAUCUCACAGCUUAACUGUGAAACUGCAUUGGAUACUAUCCGGCUCGAGGAAUGGAGGGGAGACUGGAAUACUUGGUGUAGCAGUGAAAUGCGUAGAUAUCAAGUGGAACACCAGUGGCGAAGGCGAGUCUCUAGACAUUUCCUGACGCUGAGGCACGAAAGCCAGGGGAGUAAACGGG
Molecule: ribosomal RNA, 253 nt
Filed under: uncultured bacterium
Lineage: Bacteria
Description: partial 16S ribosomal RNA
Rfam family: Bacterial small subunit ribosomal RNA
Source: RNAcentral